Molecule: ribosomal RNA, 440 nt
Filed under: uncultured bacterium
Lineage: Bacteria
Description: partial 16S ribosomal RNA
Rfam family: Bacterial small subunit ribosomal RNA
Source: RNAcentral
CCUACGGGAGGCAGCAGUGGGGAAUAUUGCACAAUGGGGGAAACCCUGAUGCAGCGACGCCGCGUGAGUGAAGAAGUAAUUCGUUAUGUAAAGCUCUAUCAGCAGGGAAGAAAAUGACGGUACCUGAGUAAGAAGCCCCGGCUAACUACGUGCCAGCAGCCGCGGUAAUACGUAGGGGGGAAGCGUUAUCCGGAUUUACUGGGUGUAAAGGGAGCGUAGACGGCAGUGCAAGUCUGGAGUGAAAGGCGGGGGCUCAACCCCCGGACUGCUCUGGAAACUGUACGGCUGGAGUGCAGGAGAGGUAAGUGGAAUUCCUAGUGUAGCGGUGGAAUGCGUAGAUAUUAGGAGGAACACCAGUGGCGAAGGCGGCUGACUGGACUGUAACUGACGUUGAGGCUCGAAAGCGUGGGGAGCAAACAGGAUUAGAUACCCGAGUAGUC